UGGGGAAUAUUGGACAAUGGGCGCAAGCCUGAUCCAGCCAUGCCGCGUGAGUGAAGAAGGCCUUAGGGUUGUAAAGCUCUUUCAGUCGUGACGAUGAUGACGGUAGCGACAGAAGAAGCCCCGGCUAACUCCGUGCCAGCAGCCGCGGUAAUACGAAGGGGGCUAGCGUUGUUCGGAAUUACUGGGCGUAAAGCGCACGUAGGCGGACUUUUAAGUCAGAUGUGAAAUCCCGAGGCUCAACCUCGGAACUGCAUUUGAAACUGGGAGUCUAGAGAUCAGGAGAGGUUAGCGGAAUACCGAGUGUAGAGGUGAAAUUCGUAGAUAUUCGGUGGAACACCAGUGGCGAAGGCGGCUAACUGGACUGAUACUGACGCUGAGGUGCGAAAGUGUGGGGAGCAAACAGGAUUAGAUACCCCCGUAGUCC
RNAcentral lists this ribosomal RNA (424 nucleotides) under uncultured prokaryote. RNAcentral describes it as "bacterial SSU rRNA". It matches the Rfam family "Bacterial small subunit ribosomal RNA", at positions 355 to 796 of the family's 1533-position model. The record is from RNAcentral.